This 451-nucleotide ribosomal RNA is filed under the name uncultured bacterium. RNAcentral's name for it is "partial 16S ribosomal RNA". It matches the Rfam family "Bacterial small subunit ribosomal RNA", at positions 29 to 523 of the family's 1533-position model. The record is from RNAcentral.
AACGAACGCUGGCGGCAGGUCUUAGGCAUGCAAGUCGAACGGGUGUAGCAAUACAUCAGUGGCGAACGAGUGAGUAACGCGUGGGAAACUGUCCAUCUCUGGGGAAUAACGUUUGGAAACGAACGCUAAUACAGCAUACGCCCGCAAGGGGAAAGAUUUAUCGGAGAUGGAUGUGCCCGCGUUGGAUUAGGUUGUUGGUGGGGUAACGGCCUACCAAGGCGAUGAUCCAUAGGUGGUCUGAGAGGACGAUCAGCCACGCUGGAACUGAGACACGGUCCAGACUCCUACGGGAGGCAGCAGCUAAGAAUAUUGGGCAAUGGAGGAAACCCUGACCCAGCCAUGCCGCGUGAAUGAAGAAGGCCUUCGGGUUGUAAAGUUCUUUUAGUCGUGAAGAUGAUGACAGUAGCGACAGAAAAAGCACCGGCUAACUUCGUGCCAGCCGCCGCGGUAA